This 268-nucleotide unclassified non-coding RNA is filed under the name Hevea brasiliensis (rubber tree). Lineage: Eukaryota; Viridiplantae; Streptophyta; Magnoliopsida; Malpighiales; Euphorbiaceae. The record is from RNAcentral.
GCAAAAGCAUGAAACUUGAAGCUUAGAAAUAAUUGGAAUAGCGAAUCCCCUUGUUGAAUUGCAAACCAAGUUAACUAUAGGGUUUUUGCUCUUCUUUAAGAACAUUGGACUGUUAGAUAUUUGACCGAGAAAAGCAUAGUCAAUGGGACAGGUUGUUGAUUCUUUUGUGACAAACUCCUUCUAGAAAGAGCCUUCAGAAAUUUAUUUUAGAGUAGCAGUGAUUGGAAGUCUUCACUUUUUCUUUCCUUCACUUCAUGUAACAGCUGGC